RNAcentral lists this long non-coding RNA (831 nucleotides) under Pan troglodytes (chimpanzee). Its description in RNAcentral is "long non-coding RNA NONPTRT012896". Lineage: Eukaryota; Metazoa; Chordata; Mammalia; Primates; Hominidae. The record is from RNAcentral.
GCACGAUCUCAGCUCACGGCAACCUCCACCUCCCAGGUUCAAGCGAUUCUCCUGCCUCAGCCUCCUGUGUAGCUGGGAUUACAGGCAUGAGCCACCACGCCUAGUUAAUUUUUGUAUUUUUAGUAGAGACAGGGUUUCACCAUGUUGGCCAGGAUGGUCUUGAUCUCUUGACCUCGUGAUCCACCUGCCUCGGCCUCCCAAAGUGCUGGGAUUACAGGCGUGAGCCACUGUGCCCGGCCUUCCACCUCAUUUUCUCUCUCAUCAUUUUUUUCUCCAGCUUCCAGGAGCCGUCGUAGCAGCCGAUUAGGACUGGCUGCUGGUGUGGUGAUGACCUAGAGGGCUUCUCCCAGAGUCUCGCUCUGUGGCCCACGCCUGAGUGCAGUGGUGUGAUUUCCGCUCCCUCCAACCUCCGCCUCCUGGGUUCAAGCGAUUCUCCUGCCUCAGCCUCCUGAGUAGCUGGGAUGACAGGUAUGCACCACCACGCCCCACUGUUUUUGUAUUUUUAGUAGAGACGGGGUUUCACUAUGAUGGCCAGGCUGUGAAUUGCCUAUUCUUAUCUUCUGCACAUUUGUCUAUUGUCGGUCUUUUUCUCGUCGAUUUACAAGCAUUCCUUUUUUCAUUCUGAAUAUUAAUCCAUUGCUUUCUGAUGCUGUAACUAAGUCCUCCUAGUGGUUUGUCUUCUUGGUUAAGCCAGAUGUUAACUUGGAUUUUUCCUGCAUAAAACUGAAGACUCAAGAUGUAUCAAGCACUGUAUACAGAAAAGUGCUGCGUAUCCUACAGAAAGCUACAGACAGUUGGGGGUCAGAAUCAUUCGGAUUGUUUCAAGUUUGG